UACGUAGGGGGCAAGCGUUGUCCGGAAUCAUUGGGCGUAAAGCGCGUGUAGGCGGCCAGAUAAGUCCGCUGUGAAAUCUCGAGGCUCAACUUCGAGCUGUCGGUGGAAACUGUCUGGCUAGAGUCCGGAAGAGGAGAAUGGAAUUCCUGGUGUAGCGGUGAAAUGCGCAGAUAUCAGGAAGAACACCCGUAGCGAAGGCAGCUCGCUGGGACGUGACUGACGCUGAGACGCGAAAGCGUGGGGAGCAAACAGG
Molecule: ribosomal RNA, 253 nt
Filed under: uncultured bacterium
Lineage: Bacteria
Description: partial 16S ribosomal RNA
Rfam family: Bacterial small subunit ribosomal RNA
Source: RNAcentral